Molecule: transfer RNA, 66 nt
Filed under: Cleroidea sp. 4 KM-2017
Lineage: Eukaryota; Metazoa; Arthropoda; Insecta; Coleoptera
Description: tRNA-Gly
Source: RNAcentral
AUUUAUAUAGUAUAAAAAUUAUAAUUAACUUCCAAUUAAAAGAUCUAAAUAAAUUUAGUAUAAAUA